GAUCGCCAGACCUCGCGCGGAUGGAUGGACCUAUGUGCGAUUAGCUUGUUGGUGAGGUAACGGCUCACCAAGGCGACCAUCGCUAGCUGGUCUGAGAGGAUGAUCAGCCACACUGGGACUGAGACACGGCCCAGACUCCUACGGGAGGCAGCAGUGGGGAAUAUUGGACAAUGGGCGCAAGCCUGAUCCAGCAAUGCCGCGGGUGUGAAGAAGGCCCUCGGGUUGUAAAGCACUUUUA
This 238-nucleotide ribosomal RNA is filed under the name uncultured Gammaproteobacteria bacterium. RNAcentral describes it as "partial 16S ribosomal RNA". It matches the Rfam family "Bacterial small subunit ribosomal RNA", at positions 202 to 438 of the family's 1533-position model. Lineage: Bacteria; Pseudomonadati; Pseudomonadota; Gammaproteobacteria. The record is from RNAcentral.